RNAcentral lists this ribosomal RNA (485 nucleotides) under uncultured bacterium. RNAcentral's name for it is "partial 16S ribosomal RNA". It matches the Rfam family "Bacterial small subunit ribosomal RNA", at positions 30 to 507 of the family's 1533-position model. The record is from RNAcentral.
AUUGAACGCUGGCGGCAUGCCUUACACAUGCAAGUCGAACGGCAGCGCGGACUUCGGUCUGGCGGCGAGUGGCGAACGGGUGAGUAAUACAUCGGAACGUACCCUGUUGUGGGGGAUAACUAGUCGAAAGAUUAGCUAAUACCGCAUACGACCUGAGGGUGAAAGUGGGGGACCGGAAACGGCCUCAUGCAGCAGGAGCGGCCGAUGUCUGAUUAGCUAGUUGGUGGGUAAAGGCCCACCAAGGCGACGAUCAGUAGCUGGUCUGAGAGGACGAUCAGCCACACUGGGACUGAGACACGGCCCAGACUCCUACGGGAGGCAGCAGUGGGGAAUUUUGGACAAUGGGGGCAACCCUGAUCCAGCAAUGCCGCGUGUGUGAAGAAGGCCUUCGGGUUGUAAAGCACUUUUGUCCGGAAAGAAAUCGCGCUGGUUAAUACCUGGCGUGGAUGACGGUACCGGAAGAAUAAGCACCGGCUAACUACGUG